ACUCUGAGCAAAUCAUUGGCUAUUCAUGUCCUCUAUAUACUGUCUCCAUCGAAGUGGAAUGGAGAAGCUCACAUCAUGACUGUUGAAUGACUAAGUUACAGUUUGACAGCAUGAUCAUCACCUCAUUUAUUAAAUCUACUGAACAUUAUAACAUCAUUAGGAUACUUAGUAGGUCAACUGUCCUCACACUGACAUAGAGGGGAGAGGUACUGUGUAAUGAACUGUCAAUAGACCCGGUGGAUUUUCCCAGAGUGCCGGUGAAGUGUAUAAUUAUUUGGGACCCAUCCAAACUCUCUAGCUAAUUAACUUACAAGUCAAAAGUCAUCAGAUUACCUCUAAUAAGUGCGUGAGAGAUUUCUGUUCAAAGCAAGGGGGGGGGGUUGGGGGGGGGUUGAAUUUCCUGUUUUCUAAUCCUUACUGUGAUUUGUGUUUGAGCUGUUAUGAAAUAAAACAGCAUUUCCCCUCUCAGAGUAAAGGGACAAAUAACACAUAUUGGCUGAUCGGACACAAGAACUACAGUGUUCAGAAGGACAGCCUGGUGUGUCACUGGAACCCAAAUCUUGCCCGCAAGAAGAAGACACUGGAGGGGAGCGACAUUUCUAUGAUUUGCGUCCAGAACUACACUACAAGACCAAAAGUGUGUGGACACCCGCUCGUCGAACAUCUCAUUCCAAAAUCAUGGGUAUUAAUAUGGAGUUGGUCCCCCCCCCCCCCCUCUUUGCUGCAAUAACACUGAUGUUGGGCGAUUAGGCCUGGCACACAGUUGGCGUUCCAAUUCAUUCCAAAGGUGUUCGAUUGGGCUGAGGUCAGGGCUCUGUGCAGUCCAGUCAAGUUCUUCCACACCAAUCUCGACAAACCAUUUCUGUAUUUACCUCGCUUUGUGCACUGGGGCAUUGUCAUGUUGAAACAGAAAAGGACCUUCCCCAAACUUUUGCCACAAAAACAUCCCCAGACCAUUAUUCCUCCUCCACCAAACUUUACAGUUGGCACUAUGCAUUCUGGUAGUGAGUGUUGCAACCGAGGACAGACGAUUUUUACGCUAUUCGGCACUCGGCGGUCCUGUUCUGUGAGCUUGUGUGGCCUACCACUUCGCGGCUGAGCCGUUGUUGCUCCUAUACAUUUCCACUUCACAAUAAGAGCACUUACAGUUGACCGGAGCUGCUCAAGCAGGGCAGAAAUCUGACGAACUGACUAGCAAGAGACCCCGGUUUGACACACACACACACAGAGGCACAGCAGCACCAAUCCAGUCUAGGCCAGGCAUAAGUGACACGGUGACAGUUGGGUUAACAAAGAUGGGGACAUAGGAUACAUAGGAAAAAGUCUUGUCCCUAGCUAAAAUAAGUUGAACCUUUUUCAGAUCGGGAUACAACAAUCUGAAUGCACGUUAUCUAUGUAUUCACAUUAGCACUUAGCCAUCCACUAUAGUUCCCUAAUGAAAAAUAUACAUUUUAUCCCAAUGAGACUAACCAGUUGAUUCCCAUGACCGCUAUAUGAACACCUGCUGAUGAGAGGUGAUAUUUACAAGAAGCUCUUGUCAUAUGGCCCAACAAUGAAUUGCAAGCAAUCGGGGCCUUUUUGAAUGCCAAGCUUGUCAUUUACUUAAAUUAAUGCUAGCAGCAGCCAGAGACUUGACAUCUGACCUCUCAAUAACUGAGCUAAGUGUAUAAACAACACAUCUGAUUGGCUGACUGGACCUGGUGACAUAAGAAUAUUGAGUUUAUGCUGCGUUCGUAAUCAUGUUCGGAAUCAAGUGGUAAGUGGGAAUUUACCACCAUAGAGUUAGAUAAAGGACCACCAUUUUAAAGUAGUAAACUGGGUGGGCCUUCCUAUUGGUAAAGGAAGGAUCACAUGAUUCCAUCAGGAGGGAUCAGCCAAUGAAUUAUACUCCUGAGCAAACUUUCUGUAACUGUAGGUGGCAGUAAAUCCCCAACCUUUGCUUUAUACCUAUUCAAACAACACAUUUUAGCUGGCAGUAUGCACUCUUUCAGUUUGUACGAGAAAAAGAAAAUGACUACUACAAAAUGGAGAGGGCCUCAAUGGCGCUGCCCGUGCGCUCACAUACGUCAUAAUGGGACAGAUAUAAAGAUUAUAUCUCUAUCAUGCUCUAUGUUUACCAAAUAUGACUGGAAAAAUAUAUAUUUGAAUGGACCUCCAACUGGUAAUUACUGGUGGGAAACUCGUCAUUGAGCUCUAUUUAGGCCAUCUCCAUUUUGAACUAGUACAUUUUCUUCUUCUAC
Long non-coding RNA from Oncorhynchus mykiss (rainbow trout), 2240 nucleotides. The record is from Ensembl. Lineage: Eukaryota; Metazoa; Chordata; Actinopteri; Salmoniformes; Salmonidae.